GAUGAAGAACGCAGCGAAAUGCGAUAAGUAAUGUGAAUUGCAGAAUUCAGUGAAUCAUCGAAUCUUUGAACGCACCUUGCGCUCCUUGGUAUUCCGAGGAGCAUGCCUGUUUGAGUGUCAUGAAAUUCUCAACCUUUUCAGCUUUCUUUGUUGAUCAGGCUUGGAUGUGGGAGUAUGCGGGCUUCUCAGAAGUCGGCUCUCCUGAAAUGCAUUAGCGGGACCUUUGUUGCCUGGCUUUGGUGUGAUAAUUAUCUACGCCAUUGUAGUCAAGCAGCUUAAAAUGAGGUUUCAGCUUCUAACCGUCUCCCCUGAGACAACUUUUGACAAUUUGACCUCAAAUCAGGUAGGACUACCCGCUGAACUUAAGCAUAUCAUAAGCGGAGGA
This 385-nucleotide unclassified non-coding RNA is filed under the name soil metagenome. RNAcentral describes it as "partial contains 5.8S ribosomal RNA, internal transcribed spacer 2, and large subunit ribosomal RNA". The stretch from base 1 to 120 matches the Rfam family "5.8S ribosomal RNA", at positions 35 to 154 of the family's 154-position model. The record is from RNAcentral.